GUACAGAAAGCUCUUUUGACGACUUUCAGUUCGGCUCCUGAACUUCAAGCAGUGUCGCUCUACGUGUUUCUGAACUCUAUGGUUUGUUUACCCUCGUUCCCGCUCUAUCCUUUUCAUAGACCUAAGAAAAUAAAGAUGGGAAAAGACUAUCCGCUGCCAUUUCGUGCGUGCGCAGUUACGGAGAAGCUUGUGAAUCAUAGAUGAGAAAGCGGCCGCACAGUAGAGCGGUUCAGGCAGAGACAAAAGAGGACGAGUUUCACCUGGUUUUGCUGGUUCGCCGCACGGAAAGGAAAAGAGUGCUGUUAAAGCAACUGCAUCAAUUCCUGGCCGGCAGUUUGCAGGGCCCUGCAGAAAAUACCCCAGUGCUGUCCUAUUGGACUGCUCAAGGCAUCUAGGUCAGUAGGGAUUGGGUCCCGCUGACUGGCGGGGAACACAUUGGGCUUGGCGAUUUGCUGAAUUUUGUGAAGUUUUUCUCCUUGCUUGGUUACUGGCAGCGGGCGCAUUAAGGCAGAAUCCCACGACGGAACAACUCCCUACAGUUCCCAACAUUCCCCAGAGAGCAGGGGCUCUUUUCUGGCUAAACAUGGGAGGAGGAUCACAGCCUUACAAUGAAAUAUGCCGGUCCCGUCCCGUCCCCCCCCACGUAGCUUUGCCUUCACCCACUUUGCUUCCAGCUCUGCACACCACUUCAGUGCAGGCCUGAGGGGCUUCUCUGAAAUUAAACCUUGAUGGACUGCACUCGCGAAGGCACCUACAACAUGGCAGAAACAAACUGUAGGAAGUCAUAUGUAUAGACUUUUGAAGAACUGCAGUUCUGAUUGGCUCCCUGAAAUCAUACAAGCUGUAGCUCUCACCCUGUGAACUUUUACAGUAACUUAAACCCAGCCGUGUCUGGAGAUGCCAAGAGUUUGAAACUGGAACACAAAGCACCUGCUCUGAGCUACAGAAAACUGAUUCGAGGCACCAUGAAAUGCUAACACUGCAUGAGUAAGAGAUUGAGCUAGGAUUGGAAAAAUCUGUCAUCUUCUCCACUGUUCGCAACCGAUGGGAACUCAUCUUCAGCAAGUUAUUGUGCUUUAUCCGUUUGAAGGUGGAAUUUAUAUGCUACCCAUUCAAAUAUUGAAAAUGCAGCAAGGUCCAUUGCAUUACAAGAGGUGAGUCUUCAUCUUUUCAGUGUUCUAACAGCAGUCCUUUUCCUAGCAAAGGGGCACAGAGAAUCCAUUUACACUGCCCAUUUGUUAAUUUCCAUGAAACAGUAUGCAGGACUGUGAACAUUAAAGACUGUUCCAAUACAAAAUUUAGCAGGUAUGUAAUAAGAUAAAUAAGCAAUAAGGUAGUAAGAUUUUAAAAAUAACUACUUUUAAAAGACUGGCUGUAUUGCUCUGCCAGCAAUUAGCUGAAUUGUACAACCCCUUAUUAUACAGAUGCCAAUGUCCAAUAAACAUGAAAUUAAAGUUUCUGAAUUAUUCAGUGUGAGGCUAAUAGAUGUAACAAAGAAAUGCCAGAGCUAUCCACUGACUAGGCAUCUUCUGCCAAUAUUUACAAGUUUCUCAAACUCCCAAAUGUGCCCAGAUUCAUAAAGGUUGGGGACCCCUCAUGUGCUGUGCCUUUAAGUUCAUACAUAUCAAAGCUCCUGUAGCAAAAAAGGGAAAGCCUAGAUGGAUGACAAAAGAAACCAAUUGCCAAGGCCAGGCAAGAAGCAAAAGGUGACAGAAAUACUAUCAGAAUCCUGAAUGCGACUUUUCAGCAAGUAUCAAAUUGAGAUAAAACGAACUAUUAGAAGGACCAGUGCAAACAAGGAAAAACAAGAGACCUCUUCCUAAAGAGCCAGGAAAUCAAAGGAACAUUCAAACCUAGAGUUGGAAUACGGAAAUACAAACAAGGGAACAUACCAUCUGACCUGCAGAAAAUAAAGAGAACGUAGAAAUAUACAAAACUCUGUAAUAGAGAUGAAAGAAUGACUCCUUCAAAGAGAACUGCAAUAUUACAAAGCAAAGUAAAAGCUGCUCUGUAUGCAUUUCCAAGGAAUAGAACAUCCAGAGUAGACAGGAUUCCAGAAGAACUAUUCCAAGCUGCAGAGACGGAAUCGGUCCAAAUCCUAACAAGAAUAUGCCAGGAAAUGUGAAAAACAAAACAAUUGCCCAUAGACUGGAAAAGUUAGAUGUACAUUCUAAUCCCAAGGAGAUACAAAGAAUGCGGCAACCAUAGGAUCACUGCACUAAUUUGCCACGCAAACUGUGAUGUUUAUUCAAAGUGUUGCAACAAAGAACGGAGCAAGAAAUGCCUGAUGUUCAAGCUGGAUUCUGAAAAGCAUGGGAGAUGUUGUAAAUAUAUGUAGGCUACUAGAGCAUACCAAAGAAUUUCAGAUCAGAGUAUGCUUUAUAGCAUGGGUCCUCAAACUGUAGCCCGGGGGCCGAAUCCGGCCCACCGUGCCCAUUUGGACCCACCACGCACGCGGGGAGGCAGCGGUUUGCUCACUCGAAGAAAACGUUCUCCAAGCAAGAAAGUCACUGCCUCAUGCGCCCCUUGUGGCGCAUGCCCACUCCCACCUCGCCACACAUGCGCACCCUCCCACACCACACCGCCUCAGCACGCACGCCCGCAUGCACCCUCCCUGCCCUGGCCCACGCGCACCACUGGCACCACCUUUCCGACCCACGCCCACCACCAGCACCUUUCAACUGGCCCCCUGGUUAAAAAGUUUGAGGACCCCUGCUUUAUAGAAUACAGCAAAGCCUCUGACAAUGUAGGCAAGGUAUGAAUGGUGCUGAAAGGAAUUAUUGUCCUGAUGCGUAAUUUGUAUUGGGGACAAUAAGCUGUGAGGACAGAAUAUGGAGAAACAGCAUGGUUUCCUAAAGGCAAAGACAUAAAGGAAUGGUUUAUUUCAUCUCCCUAUUCAAACUGUACACAGAACAAAUAAGGAAAGCUGGAUUAGGAGGAAGAGUGAAAACUGAAGGAAGACACGUCACUAAUUUAAGAUAUGCAGAUAAUACCAUCUUACUGGCAGAAAGCACUAACUUAGAACAACUCCUGAUGAAAGUGAAAGUUAGUGUAAAAGCAGGACUGCAGCCGAACAUUACGAGAAUUAUAGAACUUUACUGUCAACAAUGAAAAAAUCAAAAUUGUGAAAAAUUGUGUUUAUCUUGGCUCAAUCAUUAAUUCAGAUGGAGACUGCAGCCAAGAAACUUGAUGACCACCAAGAUUUGGAAGGGACCAAUAAAGCAACUAGAAAAGAUAGUGAAAUGUAAGGAUAUUUCACUGGAGGCCAAGGCGACGAUCCUUCAUGCAAUUGUAUUCCCAGUUACUAUGUUUGGGUGUGAAAGCUGACAGGAAGAAAACUGAUACAUUCAAAACAUGGUUAUAAAUAGAACUAUAGUAAUGAUACUGAUGGUUUCAGAGAGCUUUGAGAAUACCUUGGACCAACAGAAAGAUGAACAAGUGGGUUACAGAAGCAAAAAUGCCAAGACCGAUGUUGUCAUACUUUGGACACAUAAUGAGACGACUCAUUGAAGAGGACAGGUAUGCUAUGAAUACCAAAUACAGGAUGGAUUGGCUUUGAUUAAGGAAGCCACAUGCUUGAAUUAAAACAGCAAAGCAGGGGUGUCAUGCAUAGGACAUUUUAGAGGUGUUUCAUUCAUAGGGUCACCAUCAGUUGGAGAUGACUUCACAACACCUAUCAACGCAGUAACAAGUCAAUUGCUAAAGCAGUAUUAAAAUUGCUACCUGUUCUUCUCCAUUAAUUCCUUCUCUAAUAAAAGGAUCUGUGUGUAUUGUU
Molecule: long non-coding RNA, 3775 nt
Organism: Varanus komodoensis (Komodo dragon)
Lineage: Eukaryota; Metazoa; Chordata; Lepidosauria; Squamata; Varanidae
Exons: 2
Source: RefSeq, a predicted model, not a curated record